AGUGAACGCUGGCGGUAGGCCUAACACAUGCAAGUCGAACGGCAGCACAGUAAGAGCUUGCUCUUACGGGUGGCGAGUGGCGGACGGGUGAGGAAUACAUCAGAAUCUACUUUUUCGUGGGGGAUAACGUAGGGAAACUUACGCUAAUACCGCAUACGACCUACGGGUGAAAGCAGGGGAUCUUCGGACCUUGCGCGAUUGAAUGAGCCGAUGUCGGAUUAGCUAGUUGGCGGGGUAAAGGCCCACCAAGGCGACGAUCCGUAGCUGGUCUGAGAGGAUGAUCAGCCACACUGGAACUGAGACACGGUCCAGACUCCUACGGGAGGCAGCAGUGGGGAAUAUUGGACAAUGGGCGUAAGCCUGAUCCAGCCAUACCGCGUGGGUGAAGAAGGCCUUCGGGUUGUAAAGCCCUUUUGUUGGGAAAGAAAAGCAGCAGGUUAAUACCCCGCUGUUCUGACGGUACCCAAAGAAUAAGCACCGGCUAACUUCGUG
This 492-nucleotide ribosomal RNA is filed under the name uncultured bacterium. RNAcentral describes it as "partial 16S ribosomal RNA". It matches the Rfam family "Bacterial small subunit ribosomal RNA", at positions 29 to 507 of the family's 1533-position model. The record is from RNAcentral.